RNAcentral lists this ribosomal RNA (322 nucleotides) under Conothele sp. MYG561. Its description in RNAcentral is "partial 12S ribosomal RNA". The record is from RNAcentral. Lineage: Eukaryota; Metazoa; Arthropoda; Arachnida; Araneae; Ctenizidae.
UCUAGAAGAAAAAAGGUAAUACUUCUUAAGGAAACCUUCAUCUUAUGGCGGCCUGAUUCCUUUUUAGAGGAACUCGUCUCAUAAUCGACAAUCCUCGCUAUUUUUAACUUUUCCUUCUCUCUUAUACCGCCGUCUUUAGAAUCAAUUUCCUUUUUCAAAAAAAAAGAAUUUUAUCAAGUCAGGUAAAGGUGAGGACUAUGAAAAAGGGAAGAUAAGUUACUUAUGAAUAUUAUAUUUGGAUUCAUUAUUAACAUUCUCAUGAAACAGGAUUUAAAAGUAAUUCUNUACUAAUAUUUUGCAAUGAACUAGUAAAAUUAGGUGU